UUUUCAGUGUGUGUCCAUGCUUUAAGAGCAGAGGCAUCACUGAGAAGUGUUUGAUAUCCUACAGGAAAUGAGAUUCCCACACAUGUGAGAGUGGGCUCCCAUCACCUCAGUGACCACAGCCCAGACAUACUGUUAAACCCUAUUAAACCUGCAAUUCACAAUAUUCACUCUGUUUGAACAAGAGUCAAGGAACCUUAAACCAUCCUUUUCUAGGCCCCAAUUCAGCAACGCAUUUGAGCAUAUCCGAAAGGGUUUUGUUGAAAAGGGAUGACCUGCUGAAUCAGGGCCCUAAUGACUCAUCAUUCUCCACAUUUCAAACAUCUCUGCCUUUCUUCCAUACGCCUCAAAAAGCCACUACUAGACACAAAGGCUAAUAUGCAUAGC
This is a long non-coding RNA of Mauremys reevesii (Reeves's turtle), 384 nucleotides long. RefSeq lists it as uncharacterized. Lineage: Eukaryota; Metazoa; Chordata; Testudines; Geoemydidae. The transcript is spliced from 3 exons. The record is from RefSeq and is a predicted model, not a curated record.